Molecule: ribosomal RNA, 329 nt
Filed under: uncultured bacterium
Lineage: Bacteria
Description: bacterial SSU rRNA
Rfam family: Bacterial small subunit ribosomal RNA
Source: RNAcentral
AACGAACGCUGGCGGCGUGGAUAAGACAUGCAAGUCGAACGGUAACAGGUCCAGCAAUGGAUGCUGACGAGUGGCGCACGGGUGCGUAACACGUAUGCAAUCUACCCUUAACUGGGGGAUAGCCCCGAGAAAUCGGGAUUAAUACCCCAUAAUAUUAUGAUGAAGCAUUUCAUUAUAAUUAAAGCUCCGGCGGUUUUGGAUGAGCAUGCGCGACAUUAGCUAGUUGGUGAGGUAACGGCUCACCAAGGCUUCGAUGUCUAGGGGUUCUGAGAGGAUUCACCCCCACACUGGUACUGAGACACGGACCAGACUCCUACGGGAGGCAGCAG